Long non-coding RNA from Lucilia sericata (common green bottle fly), 779 nucleotides. RefSeq lists it as uncharacterized. The record is from RefSeq and is a predicted model, not a curated record. NCBI's taxonomy places the organism in Eukaryota, Metazoa, Arthropoda, Insecta, Diptera, Calliphoridae. The transcript has 4 exons.
UCAUAACAACUUGUAGAAAAAGCAUUGUUUGGUGAAAUUCUUGUGGUUUUAUUGAAAAUGUUAAGAAAAUUUUAAUUUUUUGGAGAAUUUAAAGAAAAUAAUUAAAUUGCCAGAGACUGACUAGGCUCAUCUAUAGACUAGUCUAUAGAUUUAUAAACCAGUCUACUGGCUCGUAUAUUGGCUCCUAUAUAUGGGCUGAUAAUUUUAGGCCAUACAUCAAUUCUAUAGAAUAAUUUUAAAUCAUGUCUCAUUUAUUGAGAAGAAUAAUUAAUUGCAGCAUUAAUGUGCUCAAUUUCACUUACUGCAGAUAAUUUCUACAGCACCACUGUAAUCGUGCAGAUUUGUCAAAUCUAAUAAUAUUACUGGAAUUAGUAAUGUGCUGACAAUGAAAAAUUGCCAGCACAAUGUAGAUUUUAAAGUUCCCUUAAUUCGUAAUAUAUCUCAUGAUAUUUUUACCAUAAUAUGUCCUCAUCCAAGUCGUUUCAGAAUUUGUGGAAGUAUGAAGUCUCUAACAUACACCUAAUCAAAAUGAUGCUACAAUAAAACUGGUCAAAGGAGAUCUAAUUACUAAAACCUUUAGUAAUUACAACAAACUUUAAAUGAAGCAGAAGUAAAAAGAAAGAAGUAAAAAAUCUAUAAAAUUAAUGGACUUGUGAAACAAAUCUAUGAAAAACGCUAUUCUCAAAGAUAUAAACUAAAUUCAGUCUAAACAAAAACCUUAUUGAAGCCAAUUUUAGAAACCAAUUAAAAUAAACAUAUUUUUCUUUAAUGUAUCAAAA